RNAcentral lists this ribosomal RNA (815 nucleotides) under uncultured bacterium. Its description in RNAcentral is "bacterial SSU rRNA". It matches the Rfam family "Bacterial small subunit ribosomal RNA", at positions 58 to 849 of the family's 1533-position model. The record is from RNAcentral.
CAAGUCGAACGCGAAAGUCCCCUUCGGGGGAUAAGUAGAGUGGCGCACGGGUGAGUAACACGUAGGUAAUCUACCUUCGGGUGGGGAAUAACCCAGGGAAACUUGGGCUAACACCGCAUAAUGCAGCGGCACCACAUGGUGACAGUUGUUAAAGCGGGGGAUUUUAGGACCUCGCGCCUGAAGAGGAGCCUGCGGCAGAUUAGCUUGUUGGUAAGGUAACGGCUUACCAAGGCGACGAUCUGUAGCCGGCCUGAGAGGGCGGUCGGCCACACUGACACUGACAUACGGGUCAGACUCCUACGGGAGGCAGCAGUCGGGAAUUUUGGGCAAUGGGCGAAAGCCUGACCCAGCAACGCCGCGUGAAGGAUGAAAUCCCUCGGGAUGUAAACUUCGCAAGAAUGGGAAGAAUUAGUAGGGGUUAAUACCCCCUAUGAUGACGGUACCAUUUGUAAGCUCCGGCUAACUCCGUGCCAGCAGCCGCGGUAAUACGGGGGGAGCAAGCGUUGUUCGGAUUUACUGGGCGUAAAGGGCGCGUAGGCGGCCAGCACAAGUCGGUUGUGAAAUCUCCGGGCUUAACUCGGAAAGGUCAACCGAUACUGUGCGGCUAGAGUGCGGAAGGGGCAACUGGAAUUCUCGGUGUAGCGGUGAAAUGCGUAGAUAUCGAGAGGAACACCUGCGGCGAAGGCGGGUUGCUGGGCCGACACUGACGCUGAUGCGCGAAAGCCAGGGGAGCGAACGGGAUUAGAUACCCCGGUAGUCCUGGCCUUAAACGAUGGAUGCUUGGUGUCUGGAGUUUUAUAGUCUCCGGGUGCCGU